RNAcentral lists this non-coding RNA (107 nucleotides) under Gracilibacillus massiliensis. RNAcentral's name for it is "SAM riboswitch (S box leader)". It matches the Rfam family "SAM riboswitch aptamer (S box leader)". From Rfam's summary of the family: The SAM riboswitch is found upstream of a number of genes which code for proteins involved in methionine or cysteine biosynthesis in Gram-positive bacteria. The SAM riboswitch acts at the level of transcription termination control. The record is from RNAcentral. Lineage: Bacteria; Bacillati; Bacillota; Bacilli; Caryophanales; Bacillaceae.
UCUUAUCAAGAGAGGUGGAGGGAAUGGCCCUAUGAAACCCGGCAACCGUCAGCAAUGCUGAUAGGUGCUAAUUCCAUCAAAGCAAAUUAAUGCUUUGAAAGAUAAGA